Molecule: unclassified non-coding RNA, 2209 nt
Filed under: Hevea brasiliensis (rubber tree)
Lineage: Eukaryota; Viridiplantae; Streptophyta; Magnoliopsida; Malpighiales; Euphorbiaceae
Source: RNAcentral
GGAAUAUAAGGCUAUGGAUGACAGCUCAAUUAAGAAAGGUAAGAAUACCGACUUAUAUUGUGUGUACUGUAAUUUGUAUCCUGCUCCAACUCUGGAAUAGAAGUGUCAUUCUUUUCGAGCCAAGCCAAUAUUGUUGUAUCUCCUUUUAGGCAUGAUGCGUGCUUGGGUUGCACCCUAGUAAGCAUUUCAUCAUAAAAACCUUGUUAGCUUUCUUCAUUGAUUUCAUUGGUAACAGCAAUUUUGCAAUAUCUGUCUGUAACUAUUAUUGUCACUAUUCUAUUGGUGUGUGAGUGUAUUUAAAAGUAAAGUAGGUAAGAGAAAGGGCACAACAAUUUCCUAUAUGUAAACAGGAACAACAAAAAAGAGCGUGCAUCAAACUUAGUCCUAAGAAAGAGAAAGACUGAAGAUGGCAAAAGCUGAGAAAUCAUCAUAAAAAAUUUUAAUUGAUCUGUUGCAGUACAUUUUUUCUCCUUGAAUUUCUGUAAAGUUCUGCCAUGAUAAUAUUUGUUGCAUGCUUGCACUAAACAUGCAUAGACUGCUCCCUAGACUACCUACUGGUCCGUAAAUCUGUAACUAAGUUCCUGCUAGUGCUAGAUAGAAGAUCAACUAUAAACAGGGAAAAACUGUUACACAAGACAGUGGACAACAAAAAAGAGAUUGCAUUUCAUGGUUACAGCAAUUGUACAGUAAAUGAUCCACAAAUGUCUGCUUCCUGUUUGCACAUAAGUACACACUAACCACAAUUUAUUCUUCUUUUUUCUAAGUUUGUAGCUGCAAUAAAGAAUUCUUUAACAUCUAUCCAUAUAAAGAAAAUGAUAUUUUAACAAAUAAAAUACUAACAUAGAAGAGUUCUUAUUCAUCAAGUGUCAUUUGUGAGAACUGAGAAGCCUAUCUGGAAGCAGCUUUUCAGAGAAGCAGAGCUUCCUUGGAGUUAAAUUUGAGCACCAUUAACUGUGACAAAAAACUUCUCUCAUCAAAAUGUUCUAAAAAAAUUAGUGGUGAAUAUUUUUUUCAACUUCUAGCUUAUUCUUUGAUUGGCAGUUCUAUAGUUGCCACGGUACCACUGUUGGUUACUAUUAAGUGCGAGUAUGGAAAUCUUUCUUAAUUUUUCUUUCUAUAAUAAAUUUCACUUCAUUGCCUAUCUUUUAAGGCACAUUGCUAUAGAGUGUUCCUACACGAUACCUACUCCACACACCUGUCUAUGAAGUGGCACAUUGCUUCUCCAGACGUUGACUAAGACCUUCCAUCCAUUUACCUUUUUCUACACUCAUUACCUUUCAAAAACUUUCAUUUUCUGCUGGACACCUUCAAGCGGCCACUUAUCUAACCUAAUUAAAUAUUCUGAAUUUGCAUUUUCCAAGUUUGCUGAUGUUAGAUGGAUGCCUCUGGCUAUUUCCAUUUUAAUUUAUAAAUCCAAGUACCUGAGUUGGUGAUGAUGGAUAGCUUACCUUUGUGGCAUAUUCAUCAGCUAUUCAUUCUGGUAUGGUUGAAUAUUAUUAAAGUUUUCAUUGCCCUUUGCGUUUUUGGUACAAACAUUCUACUAGGUUUUCGUGUUUUAGCACUCUGUUAUUGAAAGAUAGUUUUCUUAAAAAUCAGGUUUGACUUGCAGGUGUCACUUUGGAAGAUCCACGGACUGAAGAUCUUAGCCAAGAAGUUAGAGGGUUCAUUUUUUCCAAAAUACUGGAACGUAAACCUGAGCUUACCUCUGAGAUAAUGGCUUACUGAGACUAUUUACUUUCGUCAACGAUAUCUGAUACGCUUGAUGUUUGGCAACUAAAAGGAAAUCAAUCAGAAUUUUCCUAGUGUAGUUUCUUCUUUGUCUCGCAUGAAGCUCAGUGAUUCGGUUAAAGAUGAAAUAACAGCAAACCAGUGAAUGAUUCCUCCUGGAAAGUCCUUAAUGGCUCUGAAUGGUGCUUUAAUCAAUAUUGAGGAUAUUGACCUUUAUCUGUAAUGCUUCUGCCCGUAUUAGAGUUUCCCUCCUUUCUUCCUGAAGAUCUUGCCAUUAUGAAUUCUUGAAUUCUUUAUCUUUUUUCCAUCUAAAUCUGAAGUUCUGACAGCUAUUGCUCAAUAUCAAACUUGAAUACUUUUGAACUACUGCAACUUUCAAACUUGAGGACUUGGCUUCUUAUGUUAAUGAAACAUGAGCUAUUUGAUUUUAUUUUCCCUCUCUGUUUUCUUCACCUCUCUAAAUCAGAUUCUAUAAUAUUAG